Molecule: long non-coding RNA, 16716 nt
Filed under: Zea mays
Lineage: Eukaryota; Viridiplantae; Streptophyta; Magnoliopsida; Poales; Poaceae
Description: long non-coding RNA (ZMAY_LNC002573)
Source: RNAcentral
UCUGACCUAUUAUGUCCCAUUUACUUUAUAAUUCAUCAACCGCAUACCAUGAUCAACUUAAGGAUUGACUAGCUUUGUAUUUACCUCACCCUUGAUUACCUUUUGGGCUACUAUGGUUAGCUUCAUGCUAUUGCUUUACUUUAAUCAAUGAACAUGAUGAGAUACAAUGAUGAUACUAUGAUUUUAUUCUGGACAUGAUGAUAUACUUGUGGCAUUUAGGGGACUCGGGCUGUUUCCCGAGUACCUCUCCGUAAGGACCUGUUCGUUGAGAGACCACCCGGGAUAACAGUGCAACCAUGAGGGUGAAAUGGGAUGCCCUUAGCUAAUUAAUUAGAGGAACUAGAGGUGUAGUUGCUUCGCCGUCGUGCCGUCAAUGGGGUCCAGGCACAGUGCUUGCUCUGCCGAGGCUGGGUGCCGAGGUUCUUUCGUUUUGCUUUUGUUAGUCACCCUCCUUCGGGGAGAGGUACUGUGUUUAUCAAACUGGAGAAACCUAACGGGCGGCUAUGACCUCUAGGGAAUCUUUGUAAAGGCUACGUAGUGAGACCCUGCUAGGUCACCUUGGUAGUGAUCAAUGGAGAGUCAUGAUCUCCGGGCAGAAUGGGAAUCACGACUUGUGGGUAAAGUGUGCGACCUCUGCAGAGGGUUAGAAACUGAUAUAUCAGCCGUGCUCACGGUUAUGAGCGGCCUUGGGAUCCUCUUUGAUUAGAGAUACAGAUGGUUCGAGAUACCGAUGAUCUGAGAUAAAAUGGUUCUAUUGAUGGUUUUGGUUCGAUGAUGAUAAUGAUGUUCCUCGAUGAGGAAAUGAUUCACGGGUUGGUUAUAUGAUAAAACUUGGCUUCCACUAAUAAUAAAUACCUGACCAACUAAAAGCAACUGCUUGAGCUUAACCCCACAUAAAGCUAGUCCACCUCAGCCAAACGGGACAUUUGCUGAGUACGUUGAUGUGUACUCACCCUUGCUUUCACAAAACACCAGGUUGCCUUUGGUGCAAUCUAUGCUCAGGUAAAGAAGAAGGCGUCGAGGUGGAUCUCCAGGAGUUCCAGGACGUUGAUGAGUUCGAGGAUUAGGCUAGCGACCUCCCCCAGUCAGCUGCCUGUGGUGGGUUGUUUACGUUGGCUACGUUUCGAUUCUGUGUACUUUGAUUUAUAUUAUGUAAAUGACUCUAGUCUGUAAUAUUAUUACUUACUCUUUAUUGUAAUUCGAAGCAUUGUGCUAUGAUGAGUCAUUUAUGUAAUCGCUGUGUACGUGAAUUACUGAUCCUGGCACGUACAUGGUUCGCAUUCGGUUUACCUUCAAAACCGGGUGUGACAUAAGUGGUAUCAAAGCCUUGCUGACUGUAGGACCGCUGACCUAGAGUAGCACUGCCGUUUUAAGGACUUAUUGAUUAUUACUUCACCUCCUCCUUGAUUCUGCUUCAAAAUAUUAGUCACCUCGACUAAUUCUAUGUUAUGUUCUUAUAUGCCCCCUUGCCAAAGGUAUUUUAUUCUAUUAUGGUAUAUACUUCUCUCAGUCUUUUAGAUCUGAUCUCACUCUUAUGCUUGCGACAUCUUUGUAGAUGCCCCCUGACAACAACCUUUUUGUCUGUUGGGAUUCUUCCCUCCCCCGUCAGUAAAUCGCUACCUUUUGACUAUCUUGAUUCCCUUAGUAUUGACAUGCUCAUACCAUUAGAUUCUUCAAUACUCUUGUUCAAAUACUUACACCUGAAUUUCUACUGCCCACUUAAACACUUCAGUUUAUAUGUCCAUGAAUUUCUUGUCUUCUGAAAUCCCUUCUUAUUCCGUUGUUAAGUCGUUAUCCUUUGCCUUUUUCUAUUCCCUUGUCUUGGUAUGCUCGUAUCCUUGGAGUCUUGCAUACCCUUAUAUUUUUCAUGUAUGCUUAUCUUCAUACCCCAAUGUCUGCUUAAGACGUUUCAGUUUACAUGCCCUUGGCCACCCUUGUUUCUUGAUAAUCCAUGGGCAAUCAUUUUAUUUUACACAUCCUUGGUGACCUCGUUAUCCCUUUAUAACUUCUCUCGAUAAUGAAUUCUUACUUCAACCAUUCUAUUGAAACCUCAGCCAUCUUACCCUUGAUUGUUUUCUCCACUUUGCCACUUCGCGAUGCUUGCCUUAACUCUCUCAUUGGUUAUGCUUCUCACUAUUGUCAUCCUUACCCUUGUCAGAUCUAUAUCUUACCCUGAAGCUUAUAUUAUACCUAUCCUCUAAAACCUUCUCUUUUCCAUCUCAAUUGUAGAGUUGUAUUUUACCUAUUUUCUCUUGGUCAUAUCCUCUUCCUCGUCGCUUGCGGGUUUUCAACUCCAUCCUUUGUUAUGCUUCUGUUUAGUGUUGCCUUUACCUUUACCAUCUCUCGACCAUACCUUGGUGAUUAUGUUAUGCCUGUUAUCUAAAAUCUACAAUCUCCUAUCCCAGUUUGAGAGCUGUGAGUUACCUAUCUCUCCCUUGAUUUCUUUUCAUUCCUUGUCGCCUUACAGGUUUUGUCCUAAUUCCAUCAUUUGACGUGUUUUUAUUUGCUAUCACCAUUCCCUUGUAAUCUAUCGAUCUUACCUUGACAUUUAUCUCUAUUCCAACUCUUCAAAAAUCUCCUCUCUUCCACCUCAAUUUGAGAGUGGCAGUUUACCUAUCUGGCCCAUGGACGUACCCUCUCCUUUUCCAUUCGCAGGUCUUGUCUUAACUCCAUCCUUUGUGGUAUUUAUAUUCUUGGUUCUUAUGCACAUUUAACCUCCUCUCCUACGUCCUUGUCUGUUAUCACCUUUAAACCCUCGUGAUACCUAUGCCCUUGCCACAUGCCUACUUUGAACCUACCCUUUAAAGCCACCUCUUUUUCAUCGCUGUUGGAGGAUAAUGCUUCACCUACUUCACCAUUGAUUGCUUUCCCUUCUUUGAUGCCUCACAGGUUUUGUCUAAAAUACAUCCUUGGUUGUGUUUGUCUGUUAUCACCUUAACCCUUGUCAUCCCUUGAUCUUUACCAUGAUGCUUAUCUUGCACCUGCAUUUUAAAGCCUCUUCUCCCAUUUCAUUUCAAGAGUGAUGUCUUACCUAUCCUGCUCUUAUUUGUUCCUUUUUUUCUCUAUCGCGUUGCAAGUCUUGUCCUAACUCUAUCUUUUGGUGUGUUUUUGCCUUUCACCUCCCUUACCUUUGUAAUCUCUAGAUCUUUCCAUGAUGUUAUCUGUUGGGGACUUGUUCUCAAAUGCUAAGAAUUAAGAACGAGGCAACACAAAAAAUGUUAAAUGUUAAGGUCCUUCGUCCUCCAUAACGAUAUAUCCCUUCGGGAUACAAAGCAUCUCGGACGAAGGUUACGAAGGACAUACCUUCGUAAGUAUAACAACGAAGAAUGAAGCAUUCACAUAAAUCAUAGAAUAUGAAAUAAACAUUUAAAUAUUGUCAUAGAAUUAUCUCUACUUGUAUUAAUGAAUAUAAAUGACUUUGAUUUACAAAUGUACCUUCGGUCCUGCGGAAGGCAAAAGUACGAGCGUGAUGUGAAAGCAAGUGACAGGUUCCCGUGAACAGUACAGAGGUACUGUUCAUCUAUUUAUAGGCACAGGUCGCAGCCUGUGACAAAUUACAAUUAUGCCCCUUGCGAAAGUUUACAGCAUUGACUCAGACCUAUAUGUAUAAAAAGGUCAUUCUAUCUCUAUGUCGGUUUAAAACGCCGAAGCUCCAUGAAAAGGGACCUUCGGCCAUCUCUUGGAGACGACUUCAGCCGAAGCUGCUUCUUCGUGUGAGACCUUCGGCGCACCGAAGCACGACCCCAACAGUAGCCCCUUUCGCGGUGCUAGAUCGUUCUUCGUAACGAGCUUGACCCGUGAAAAAAGCCUCUUCAGCUUCGGGAAGCCGAAGGUCCAAAAAACACCUUCCCUGAGCUCGUUGCGGAGAAACGAUCCGACUUCCGAGCGCGUGUCGGUCCCACCUUGCAGAGUUACUGUUUGAUCCUUGCGGUCCACUGCGCAGCGGGUACAAGUUACUGCGCGCCUGGUGUAACAAUUCCGCCGCUUCGCCUUCUUACCUGCAGCACUAUAUAAACUGACAAGUAGUUGUGAAGUUACCACAGCAUUCAUUGCUAUUUGCACUGUUUUGCUGCCGAAAUUUUCCAUCAUAGCCGAAGCUUAAGUCCCAAAAUCGAACGAAGGUGCUUCUCAACGUCUGCUUCGUCAGAAAGAAGAGCUUCGGAGAAAAGAAAAAAGGAAAAAGUUUUUGACUUCCCAAACUUAGAAUCAAAUGGCGAGAAUACGAUCUACUGCCAAAGUUGUACGUGAGGGAGACGAAGCCGAAGGUUCAGACACUGUGCCCAUCUCCGAAGCAAUGCAGCGUUCCGGUCUGCUGACUACAGAAGAAAUGCCUGCUGCUGAAGCAGGCCCAACAACUGCCGAAGGAAAAGAAAACAUUGAAGGGACUGACUCCGAAGAUGACUAUCACUUUGCUAUGCCCAGCAAGCCCAGUCACCUGGAUUUUGGGAAAUCAACUGUUUCCAAAGCUGACCUUUCGAAGAUGGUGAAAGCAGGUUAUUUCAAUAAGGACCAGAAGAAGCUACUCCGCUUCGGGGAAGAAGAAACCACCCCGAAGCCAAGGAAGGAUGAGAUUGUUAUUUUCAAGAGUUUUUUAAAAGCUGGGCUUAGAUUCCCUCUCCACGGUAUUAUUGCAGAGAUACUGAAGAAGUUUGGCAUCUAUUUUCAUCAAUUGACUCCUAACGCCAUCGUUAGGCUCAAUGUUUAUAUCUGGGCUCUCCGAAGCCAGGCUAUGGAACCAUUUGCCGACAGCUUCUGCCGAGUUCACGAAUUACAUUACCAAACGAAGGCCAGACAAGAUGGGCUACAUGAUAAUUUCGGCUGUUAUAAUUUUGCCUACCGGAAGACAACAAAAUGUCCUGUCAUCAGCUACCGGAGCAAAUGGCCAGCAGGUUGGAAAUCAGAGUGGUUUUAUGUAAAAGUUGACGAAGACAAAGAAAAACUGGUACAAAGCCCUUUAGAAUUAAUCUUCGGAGAGACAAGGCCACGAUGCCACAUUGGCGACCUAAAAGGUCCCACCUGGGCUGCUCUGGGUGAAUUUGAAAUUAUCUCAAAACAUAUUGGCACCAGGGAUCUGGUUCAGGAAUUCUUGGCAUUCAGAGUUUUCCCUACUCUAAAAGAGUGGGAAAUGCCGAAGCUGGAGGGAGAGAAGAAGGAGGGGGAGCUUGUCCGGCUUCCCUAUUAUUUCAAGUUCAAGAAAUUCUUCAAAAAACCCUGCAAAGAAUGGUUAGAGACUGUUGAAGUGAUGUGCAACGAAAUCCUGGGGAACUACUCCAAAAAAGAGGAUCAACUAAUGACGGCAGCCUUCGGUGCCCGACCGAAACGAAGGUUGAACCGAGUGCUUGACGCCCUAGGCUUCGAAUACCCAGACUAUGAACAAUUGAACAAGGGUGCCGAGGGCCUUAAAAGAAAAAGAAUAGCCGAAACUCCGAUCACGGAUGAAGAAAGACCAGCAAAGGAGAAGAAAAUUCUCAAAAAAGGAAAAAUAUCUGCUCCGAAGCGCAAAUCACCCGAAGAAGAGGGGUCCCCCACACCGCCUUCUACCAGCGACGUGGAUGAAAUUUUAAAGGUAAUGACUGAACCCAUGCCCACGAAGCUAAGUCCACUAGGGCUCCAACUGACGAAGCUUUUUCAAAAGGUGGACGAGCCGGAUCAGACGAAGACAAGCAAACCCAAGCGGCAAAGAAUCAUUGCGGUAACUGAAGUUAUCGAUAAGACGCCGCCAAGGGCGUCAAUCCAAAAAACGGCAGCUGCCGAAGGUACAGCAAUCGUCGAAGGCGUAGCUUCGGGGGUCGCGGCUAUCGAAGCCGCUACAGCCGAAGAUACAAACUUAAAAUCCACGAUUGAGAAUAUCAACAAGAUUUUGGAAGACAUGGCUGCGGAAGAAGCUGGUGCUACUACUGAAAAAACCAUGGCCACAGUGCCUGAGAAAGGAAAAGAAAUAGCCGAAGACCCUUCGGACGACGAAGCCUACUCUUUCCAGCACUUAGUUGGGCAAAAACUGACGAAGGACGAAAUAGAAGAACUUAAAGACUACGCCAAGUCUUGCGGCUACAAGUCAGGUGCCCUCCUAUUUGGGGGUGUAGAUGAUGAAAAACUAGGCUGUAUUCGAGACCAGACUGGAGCUAAGGUAAUCGGUACUCUAUCGAAGAGUAUCGGUUUUCCGAAGCUAGAGACAGACAUCAGCCGCUACCGACGACAACAUAUCGUCGGCAGCUUGUUUUAUUCUAACUUCAAGGUAAACAACCUUUUUCUCUGGUUUCUAUUGCCGUUAACAAUGAAAAUAUUACUUAACAUAAGUUGUUUCUGUUCAGAGCAUGCUACUGAGCAAAGCUCUGAAGAUGCAACAAGACUUGGAGGACAAAAAGCACGAAGCUAUAAUUGAAAACUUGGAAAGCAAAAUAAAAGAGCAAACUGCCAUCAUUGAAAAGAAAGACUUCGAGCUCCAAUCGACCGAAGGCUUGCUGGCUGAAACUGAGGCUAAAAUAUUAGAGUUAAAUUCGAAGCUUAUCAAUCAAUCAAAACAAUUUGAUCAGGAGAAGCUAGAACUGAAUUCGAAGCUUAAAGCCGAAGUCCAGACCAGCUCAGAAUUGAAGAAAGCAUUAACAAGCCUUCAAGACAAAUGCUUGAACUUUGGCAAUAAUUGUAUUGGACGAUUAAAGAAGAUAUUUUACUCUGUUGGAGCCAGCAGUGGGAAAUUUAACCCUUCGGCGGAAAAUUUACCCCAGGCCUUCGAUCAUAUUGAAGCUGAAAUCGAAGAGCUUGACGAAGUUAUAGCUGGGCACGGCGACUUCUGUGCCUGGGUAGCUUCUCGGGGUACAGCUGCUGCAUUUCUGAAGGCCGGCUGCGAACAUGGAAAAGUUGUCAACAGGCCCAACUUCACCUUAUCUCCAUCAAUCCUGGAUGAUAUGCCUGACCUUGCCCGAAGUAUCUCCAAUAGAUUUAUAAAAAUGAUAUGGACAAAAGGCGGGCGGGAGAAGGCUGGAGAUGAAGCACGAAGUCAUCUUGAACCAGUAAGAGAUAAUACUUCGUACUUACCUUUUUCUUUGCACUUGAUUUUUACUCACGAUUCCUUGAUUUAUGUAGGAUGACGAAGGUGAAGAUGAUGCCUAAGUUAUGUCGCCGAAACUGUCGCCGAAGCUGAAGCUUAAUGAAGAUCAGUAGAAAUGUACUAUAGGAAAAAACUCAGGAUACUUUUGUAACAAGUUUUGUAAAUACAAUUGAACUGUUCUCAAGGAACUUUGUACAUACCUUGUAAUAUAUCCUUACCCUUCGAUUGAGUCGCUUUGAUGUGGACGAAAUCAGUAUUUUGAGCCGAAGGCGAAAAAACACCUUCCCUUCUUUUCGUACACAACGAAGCCUAAACGGUCGCUUCCUCUUUUUGCCAAAGCUUUUCUUCACAUAGCAAAACAUAAAAAACUACUUCUUCUUUCUGCCGAAGCUUUUACAUAGCAAAACAUAAAAGACUACUUCUUCCUUCUACCGAAACUUUUACAUAGCAAGACAUAAAAGACUACUUCUUCUUUCUGCCAAAGCUUUUACAUAGCAAAACAUAAAAGACUACUUCUUCCUUCUGCCGAAACUUUUACAUAGCAAGACAUAAAAGACUACUUCUUCUUUCUGCCAAAGCUUUUACAUAGCAAAACAUAAAAGACUACUUCUUCCUUCUGCCGAAACUUUUACAUAGCAAGACAUAAAAGACUACUUCUUCUUUCUGCCAAAGCUUUUACAUAGCAAAACAUAAAAGACUGCUACUCUUAUACACAACGAUUCAUAAAAAACCACUUCUUCGAAACCUUUCUUUUACAUAACAAACCAUUUAUCCGAAACUUUUCUCUGUGCCGAAGCAACCAUUUAGGAACACAAAUGCUAUGAAUGAAUGCUUAUGCAUGCAAAUGCCAUGAUGCAAUGUGCAAAUGAAUGUCCGAAGCGUAUGUCCGAAGCCACACUCAUCCAUCAUUUUCUUAGGAGCAAACACACGUCAGCUCUGCAUUCCCUUAGGAACGACUUUGGAGCAUCUUUGCCUUUUACUUAGGCAGUAUCAGCGUUGACUUUUCGCUGUAAGCUCUGCAUCCCCCUAGGGACGUCUUUGGAGCUUCUUCGUCUUUUACUUAGACGGUAUAAGCUCUGCAUUCCCUUAGGAACGACUUUGGAGCUUCUUCGCCUUUUACUUUCGGCGGAAUCAGCGUUGACUUUUCGCUGUAAGCUCUGCAUCCCCUUAGGGACGUCUUUGGAGCUUCUUCUCUUUUUUAGUUUCGGCACUCGAUGGUGCGCUCUCAGCUUUUACAUUUACAUUCUUUGGGGGAUUUUGCUCUUAUAAAACUAAAAAGGAAAUUACAUAAGAUGGCCCCAUUAAAAACCUUUCUCCCCCUUUAGAAAGGAAAAGGGUGCCAUGAAAAAGAAAAGAAAAGUCAAAAUUACAUCGAAUUAUACAUAAAACCGCCGAAGCUCAUCUGCAUUCCAAGAUCUUGGAAUUUCAUUGCCAUCCAUGUCCUUCAGUCUGUACGAACCAGGCCUUGACGAAGAUGCUACUAAGAAAGGCCCUUCCCAUUUCAGUUGCAAUUUGCCCACUGUAUCCGGAUUGGCCACUCUCCGAAGCACCAAGUGUCCUGGCUCAAUAUUUUUUAGCCGGACCUUUCUAUCUCGCCAUUUAACUGUUUCAGCCUGGUACUUAUUGAUAUUCUCCACGGCCUGAAGCCUGAUCCCUUCUAAGGCAUCUUUUUCCACGAGACAAGUAUCUUCGGGACCUGAUUCUGCCGAAGCUACCACUCUUAUUGAUCCAGCUUUGGCUUCUUCCGGGGUUAUUGCUUCGUCACCAAAUAACAACUUGAAUGGGGUAAAGCCUGUAGAUCUUGAUGUUGUUGUGUUAUGGCUCCAUACCACUUUGGUAAGCUGAUCUGGCCACUUUCCCCUUGGUUGAUUAAAGAUUAACUUCAUUAUUCCUGUCAUUAUGAUGCCGUUGGCCCUUUCAACAAGCCCAUUCGACUCCGGGUGCCUGACUGACGCAAAGUGGAUCUUCGUGCCAAUUUGAUCACAAAAAUUUCUGAAUUCUUCGGAGUCAAAUUGUGUUCCAUUAUCUACAGUUAUAGCCUUCGGCACUCCGAAGCGACAGACAAUAUUCUGCCAGAAAAAUUUUUGGACAGUGGCCGAAGUUAUUGUAGCUAAUGGCUUCGCCUCAAUCCACUUGGAAAAAUAUUCCACAGCAACUACAACAUAUUUCAGAUUGCCUUGAGCCGGUGGUAAUGGGCCCAGCAAAUCGAGGCCCCACCUUUGCAAUGGCCAGAUGGGUUGUAUUAGCUGUGUCAAAGACGAAGGUUGUUUUUGAUCUCUUGCACAUUUCUGACAACCUUCGCACUUUUGAACUAACUCAGCUGCAUCCGAAGCUGCCUUCGGCCAAUAAAAUCCUUGACGGAACACUUUUCCAAGUAACGGCCUGGAUCCGAUAUGGGAUCCACAAAGGCCUGCAUGUAUCUCCUUCAUCAACUCUAUACCUUCGGCUCUAGACAAGCACUUGAGCAGCGGGGCACAAACUCCAUGCUUGUAUAACUCCCCUUCUAUAAUGAUAUAUGGACGAGCUCUUGCCUCUAUUCUUUUAUUAUAAGCUUCGUCAUCUGAUAGGAAGUUGCCCUGAAGGUAAGAAAUUAUUUCAGUUCUCCAAUCUUCACUGUACACAGGAGAAAUAGUAAGAACUGCUCUUUCAAGUAACUCCACUGAAGGUGCCUUUAUUGUUUCGAAGAAUACAUCCGAAGGUAACGGCAGCCCCUGUGCUGCAGACCUGGCUAACAAAUCAGCAUGUUCAUUUUGCCCUCGAGGGAUAUUCUUAACAGAAAAUCCUUCGAAGGAAGCUUCGAUCCUUCGGACUGUGUCUAGGUAUUUUUCAAGCUUCGGGUCUUUAGCCUUGCAACUUUUGUCAAUAUGACCCGAAACAAUCUGAGAAUCAGUUUUGAGGAUCGCCCUCCUGAUCCCCAUCGCCUUUAGUUUCCGAAGACCCAGGAGCAAGGCUUCGUACUCAGCAAUAUUAUUUGUGCAGCUGAAGUCCAGUCUUGCUGCAUAGCAAGUUUUAACCUUGGACGGUGAAACCAAAACAGCAGCUGCUCCUGCUCCGAAGGUUCCCCAGGAGCCAUCACAAAACACUGUCCAUGCUUCGGCAUCUUUAUCCGCUUCUUCGCCCUGAGCCCCUGGCGUCCAGUCGGCAAUAAAAUCUGCCAAUGCUUGAGACUGGAUCGAGGAUCUGUGCACAUAAUCAAUGUAAAAUUCAUUAAGCUCCGCAGCCCAUUUUCCAAUUCGGCCAGUAGCUUCUUUAUUUCUCAUGAUAUCUUUCAACGGCUGCGAAGAAGGAACAAUAAUAUUAUAUGCCUGAAAAUAAUGCCGAAGCUUCCUGGAUGCCAUUAGAACGGCAUACAACACCUUCUCCAGUUCUGUAUAAUUUUUCUUUGAGACACUAAGGACCUCAGAUACAAAAUAUACUGGGACCUGCUUCUUGAUUUGUCCAUCAAACUUCUCCUGCACAAGUGCCGCACUUACUGCUGAGUGCGAAGCUGCCACAUACAACAACAGAGGAGCCCCUGGCAUUGGUGGAGUUAAUGUUGUUAGAUCUAUCAGGUAUUGCUUGAGUUCUUCGAAAGCUUUUUGUUGAGCUGGGCCCCAUUGAAAGACUUCAGCUGAUUUUAGCACCUCGAAGAAGGGUAGAUUUCUUUCCGCUGAUCUGGAUAUAAAUCUGUUAAGAGAAGCCAGUCUUCCUGUCAAUCUUUGGGCCCCCUUUCUUGUGGUUGGUGGCUCCAUUCGAAGUAUAGCUUCGAUUUUAUUUGGGUUAGCUUCAAUCCCCUUUGUUGAAACCAAGCAUCCAAGGAACUUACCCUUCUUUACUCCGAAGACACAUUUUUCUGGAUUCAGCUUCAGACCAGCUUGUCUGAAGCUGGCGAAGGUCUCCUGCAGAUCAGCAAUAUGGUCUUCUUGCUUCGUGCUUUUUACAAUAAUGUCAUCAACAUAGGUCAACACAUUUCUGCCUAUCUGAGAUUGGAGAACCUUCGCAGUCAUCCUGCUGAAACUCCCUCCAGCAUUCUUGAGCCCCUCAGGCAUCCGAAGAUAGCAAUAUGUACCACUUGGGGUUAUGAAACUAGUCUUCGGCUCAUCCUCCUUUUUCAUCCAGAUUUGAUGAUAACCUGAGUAACAAUCCAAGAGACUCAUGAGUUCCGAAGAAGCUGCUGCAUCAACUAAAGAGUCUAUCCUUGGCAGCGGGAACUCAUCCUUCGGACAAGCCUUGUUGAGAUCUGUGAAAUCAAUACACAUUCUCCACUUUCCAUUGGCCUUCUUCACCAUAACAGUGUUAGCUAGCCAAUCUGGAUACUUCACUUCUCUAAUAACUCCUGCACUUAGGAGUCUUUUUACUUCGUUGCGAGCCCCUUCGGCCUUGUCAUCAGACAUUUUCCGAAGCCUCUGCUUGCGGGGUCUGAAGGAUGGGUCAACAUUGAGCGAAUGUUCAAUAACAUCCCGAUUCACUCCACAAAGAUCAUUGGCUGACCAUGCAAAAACAUCUUUAUUGUUGAAUAAAAACCUUAUCAAGGUUUUCUCUUGAUCUUCAGAUAAUUGCGAGCCCAAUAGCACCUUCUGCUCUGCUAUAUCCUCACACAGCAGCAUGGGCUUCGGCUGAUCAGCCGAAGCUGCUUUUUCCCUCCUGAACUUGUACUGUUCACAAGCUUCAACUCCAUCUAUAUUAUGGAUUGCCUUGGAAUCAGUCCAGCUUCCUUCGGCCCUUCUGGCAGCUUCCUGACUCCCAUGAAUAGCAAUAGGCCCUUGGUCCGAAGGUAUCUUCAUGCAGAGAUAAGCUGGGUGAAGAAUUGCUUCAAAAGCAUUUAGGGUACCACGACCAAUGAUGGCGUUGUAGGGGUAUUCCAUGUCAACAAUAUCAAACACAAUUUGCUCAGUCCUUGUGUUAUUAACAAAUCCGAAGGUUACCGGCAUGGUAAUCUUCCCGAGUGCCACAAUCUGCCGCCCUCCGAAGCCACAAAGAGGGUGCGUAGCAUCAUGAAUCUUGUCUUCAGGCUCUUGCAUCUGUCUGAAGGCUUUGGCAAAUAUAAUGUCAGCUGCACUGCCUGUGUCAACUAGGACAUUGUGAACCAGAAACCCUUUGAUCACACAAGAAAUGACCAUAGCAUCAUUGUGAGGAUAGUCCUUGAGCUGAAGAUCUUCCUGAGAGAAGGUAAUUGGAAUGUGAGACCAUUUUGACUUAACAAAGGGUCCCUGCACUCCAACAUGCUGCACCCUUCUCUGAGCCUCCUUCUUCUGCUUUUUGUUAGCUGGCUCUGAGCAAGAACCGCCUGUUAUCGGGAGCACCAGCUUCGAAGCCGAAGCAGCUCCAGCUUGAGUGUUGAACGAAGCCAUCAGCUCAGAAAGGUGGAAGUGAGUUGACCGGAGGUGGGCGCCAAUGUUGGGGACUUGUUCUCAAAUGCUAAGAAUUAAGAACGAGGCAACACAAAAAAUGUUAAAUGUUAAGGUCCUUCGUCCUCCAUAACGAUAUAUCCCUUCGGGAUACAAAGCAUCUCGGACGAAGGUUACGAAGGACAUACCUUCGUAAGUAUAACAACGAAGAAUGAAGCAUUCACAUAAAUCAUAGAAUAUGAAAUAAACAUUUAAAUAUUGUCAUAGAAUUAUCUCUACUUGUAUUAAUGAAUAUAAAUGACUUUGAUUUACAAAUGUACCUUCGGUCCUGCGGAAGGCAAAAGUACGAGCGUGAUGUGAAAGCAAGUGACAGGUUCCCGUGAACAGUACAGAGGUACUGUUCAUCUAUUUAUAGGCACAGGUCGCAGCCUGUGACAAAUUACAAUUAUGCCCCUUGCGAAAGUUUACAGCAUUGACUCAGACCUAUAUGUAUAAAAAGGUCAUUCUAUCUCUAUGUCGGUUUAAAACGCCGAAGCUCCAUGAAAAGGGACCUUCGGCCAUCUCUUGGAGACGACUUCAGCCGAAGCUGCUUCUUCGUGUGAGACCUUCGGCGCACCGAAGCACGACCCCAACAUUAUCUUAUGCCUACCUUUUGAAAUAUCAUCUUUUCCAUCUCGAUUUGAGAAUGGUGUUUUACCUAUCCUGACCUUGGUUGCAUUCUCUCCCUUGUCGGUUACAAUCAUUGCUUUAGCUCCAUCCUUUAUUAUGCUCAUGCCCCUACCCUCCAUGUCUUAUUAUUCCCCUUGCCUUUUGUUGGCCUUAGAGGAAAGACCACCAUUUAAUUAAAAGGAAUGUAUAGCAACGAGAUGUUUGUUGAUGUGUGCUCAUGAUGUUUGUCCUUCUGCUAUGACUGAUUUGCUUCUUUGGAAUGAGUGUUGAUGUGUUGUGGCCCUUGGACCGCAAUGGAAUCUGUUUACUAGGUGAGUGCCAUAGAGUUAAGUAGUUGGGUUCUCUCCCUGCUCUCUCUAAUCCGUCUAUACUUACCCUUUCUCGUUAUUCUUUCCUCUUGCAUUUGUCCUUUUGGAAACCUCCAACUCCUCCAAACCAGUCAAGAUCAGAGUCGGCAACAUCUUCAUCAAGUGUGUAUCAAUGCUCUUGUUAAGGGGGUUAGCCGCUAACCCCAAUGAAGACAAUGCAAUCAACAUCAACCAACAAGAUCAGAGUGGCGCAGCGAAAGCGUGUGUGGGUCCUAACCCACAGGUCCAGGAGAUCCUCAAGAAUUGCAUCAAUCGGUCUCAAGCAUCUGAUGGUCAAAGCAACCAAUUCACAAGUCAAGCCGGCGGAGUCAAAGCUGAGUUAGAAAAAGCUAUGAAAGACUAAUGAACCAAUCUCAUUUUCUUGCUAGCCUCUUCUUGAAUCUCGAGGACGAGAUUCUGUUAAGGGGGUUAGAUUUGUAACACCCUGAAUUUGGGGGUAUAAAAUUUCUUUUCUAAUAUCCACCAAAUUCAGGUGUUACUCUCUCAGUUCUUCGCUUUCCUUUCUCUUUUCCCUAAAAAUGGAGAAUUAUUUUGUUUUUUAUUAGCGUAAACCUAGUGGAAUGAGCCCUAGAGGCACUUUGGUUGUUGCAUUCAUGCCGUUGCAUGGUGUUUCUAAGUGCAAAAUGUGUUUGAAACAUGUUAACAUAUCUUAUAGAAGCGCUCGGUAAAUUUUCAUAUUUUUCGGAAUAUUUUUCUAUUUUCCGGAAACCAAAAUCUAUUUAUUUGUGGAACUUAAAAAUGUUUUUAGAAAUUCUAAUUAUGUUUUUUGAGUUCAUUAGGUCCCAAAACAUUUAUAGGAAUUUUUCUGGAAUUUUUGAAAGUAUCUAUAAUAUUUUGAGCACAAAAUAUGGAUUUCUAGGCUUUUUCGAAUUUUAAAAAAUAGUAAAAUCCGAAUUUUAACCGAAUUUUUAUCUCGUCCAAACCCUAGGUAUAUAUACAUGUCCGGCUUCAUCUCGUCGAGCCCGUUCCAGAAUACAAAACGUUUCCCCCAAAUCCAAUCCCUAGCUCCCUGUAUUGCUCGCCGAAGUUCGGGGCGGUUCCAACUCCGGCGACAACUCCGGCGAGCAAUUACUCCCAAUCCGUGCAUCGUCUGCCAAAUCCGAGGGUACCGCUGCGUUCGUCUCGUCGAGGGCUUCGUCGCAGCGCGUUCGGUUCGUCGAUUGGAUCCCCGAAUCUCCGGCAAUCGAUGGAUUUCCUCUCGGCUCCGGCGAGGGUCUUCUUCCCCGGUGAGAAACCUCCAUUGUUGCACCUAGGGUUUCUUCGUUUCUUCGUUUUCCCGUCCGUGCAGAGCCUCUCCCACUCUCCCCUCACCUUCCCCGGCGGCGGCGGCCCUUCCCCCUCCGUUUCUCCUCCCCGGCGACGCCCCUUUUCCCCUCCCCGGCGGUGGCGGCGGUGGCCGACGGCGGCGCUCGCGCUCACGCGCCCCACGCCCGCGCGUACCCCUCCCCGGCGGUUGUGGCCGCGCCUUACGCGCCCGGUGCGACCGCGCCCGCUCCCGGCCGGCCCGGUCUCGUCCUCCCCUGCGCAGCCCCCUUCCCCUCCUCUCUCUUCCAUGAAUGGGAGGAAGAAGAUGAGGAGAGGAAGAAGAAGAUGACAGUUCUGUAAAUUAGGACGCGCGAAUUACAGUAUGGUUUAAAACAUUCAUAACUUUUGCGUUUUAAACCCGAUUCGAUCCAUUCAAGUUGCGUUAGAUUCGUAUUAAAAUAAUCUUAAUUUAGAAAUAUUUAUCCCAAUUUUUGCACAUUUUAUUUAAUUUAGUUAAACGUUUGUUUAAUCGGUGGCUACUAGAACGACAUUUUAAUUUAAAAAUCUAAUUUAGGAAUUCGAUUUGUGCAUUUAUAAUUAGUCACCAAUAUGAUUAACCUUAACUGAAAUAUUAGUUAUUAAUAAUUAUUUAGUUUAAUCACGUUGUUUAAUUAUUAGUUUCGCAUAUCGGUCCGCGCGUGUCGCGGUGCUGUUUCGCGCACGUCGUCGCGUGUCGUUCGCGAGUGUUGCGCGUGUUGUUCGCACGCGUUGUCGUGUGCCGUUCGCGUGUGUCGCGCGCCUUGCCGCGUGCCGUUCGCGCGUAUCACACGUUGUCCGCGCGCUAAGUCGUUUGUGUCCGCGUGUUGCGCACAUCGUGUUUGCACGUCGUGCGUCGUUAAUUCGUCUCGCUUAGAAUUGCUCAUAUUCAUUAAGUUACUUGCUUAACUGUCAACUAUUAAAAUAGUAAGUUAGUCAAAACUAAGUAGUAGUAUUGAUUUACAUUUGAUUAAUAUCAAUUAAUAUAAUUAUGUUGAAUUGGAUGUUCUAAUUAGUACUUGUUUAACGUAAACGCGCUAACCCUUCGACCGUAGCUUCGACUAUCAUGGUUCUUUUCCUUGCGUAACCGUAGAGGCGCUCUCUAUUUUAUAUUGCUCGCUUUUAUAAUAUUUUAUCUUGUAUGGUGUAAUGUUCUUAUGCAUAUAUAUGUUUAUUUGCUUGUGUCUGUUUGUCUUCGCUUCGCGUUGCGAUUGGAUCGCGAUUCGUUUCCGAACUUCGAGGAAUCGACGGUCAAGCUUCGGCGACCAAGUGAUCUAGCUCUUUGGGUUCCACGAAGUUGAAGACUCUGAGCAUCUGUUUGGUGAAGGCAAGUGUCCUCUGACCUAUUAUGUCCCAUUUACUUUAUAAUUCAUCAACCGCAUACCAUGAUCAACUUAAGGAUUGACUAGCUUUGUAUUUACCUCACCCUUGAUUACCUUUUGGGCUACUAUGGUUAGCUUCAUGCUAUUGCUUUACUUUAAUCAAUGAACAUGAUGAGAUACAAUGAUGAUACUAUGAUUUUAUUCUGGACAUGAUGAUAUACUUGUGGCAUUUAGGGGACUCGGGCUGUUUCCCGAGUACCUCUCCGUAAGGACCUGUUCGUUGAGAGACCACCCGGGAUAACAGUGCAACCAUGAGGGUGAAAUGGGAUGCCCUUAGCUAAUUAAUUAGAGGAACUAGAGGUGUAGUUGCUUCGCCGUCGUGCCGUCAAUGGGGUCCAGGCACAGUGCUUGCUCUGCCGAGGCUGGGUGCCGAGGUUCUUUCGUUUUGCUUUUGUUAGUCACCCUCCUUCGGGGAGAGGUACUGUGUUUAUCAAACUGGAGAAACCUAACGGGCGGCUAUGACCUCUAGGGAAUCUUUGUAAAGGCUACGUAGUGAGACCCUGCUAGGUCACCUUGGUAGUGAUCAAUGGAGAGUCAUGAUCUCCGGGCAGAAUGGGAAUCACGACUUGUGGGUAAAGUGUGCGACCUCUGCAGAGGGUUAGAAACUGAUAUAUCAGCCGUGCUCACGGUUAUGAGCGGCC